RNAcentral lists this ribosomal RNA (264 nucleotides) under uncultured bacterium. RNAcentral's name for it is "partial 16S ribosomal RNA". It matches the Rfam family "Bacterial small subunit ribosomal RNA", at positions 90 to 354 of the family's 1533-position model. The record is from RNAcentral.
UUCGAGUGGCGGACGGGUGAGUAACGCGUGGGUAACCUGCCUUACACAGGGGGAUAACACCUGGAAACAGGUGCUAAUACCGCAUAAGCGCACAGGGCCGCAUGGCCCGGUGUGAAAAACUCCGGUGGUGUAAGAUGGACCCGCGUCUGAUUAGCUUGUUGGCGGGGUAGGGGCCCACCAAGGCGACGAUCAGUAGCCGGCCUGAGAGGGUGGACGGCCACAUUGGGACUGGGACACGGCCCAAACUCCUACGGAAGGCAGCAG